Molecule: unclassified non-coding RNA, 345 nt
Filed under: soil metagenome
Description: partial contains 5.8S ribosomal RNA, internal transcribed spacer 2, and large subunit ribosomal RNA
Rfam family: 5.8S ribosomal RNA (bases 1-120)
Source: RNAcentral
GAUGAAGAACGUAGCGAAAUGCGAUAAGUAAUGUGAAUUGCAGAAUUCAGUGAAUCAUCGAGUCUUUGAACGCACAUUGCGCCCCCUGGUGUUCCGGGGGGCAUGCCUGUCCGAGCGUCAUUGCUGCCCUCAAGCACGGCUUGUGUGUUGGGCCUCCGUCCUCCUCCCGGGGGACGGGCCCGAAAGGCAGCGGCGGCACCGCGUCCGGUCCUCGAGCGUAUGGGGCUUCGUCACCCGCUCUUGUAGGCCCGGCCGGCGCUUGCCGACACAUCAAUCUUUUUUCCAGGUUGACCUCGGAUCAGGUAGGGAUACCCGCUGAACUUAAGCAUAUCAAUAAGCGGAGGA